Molecule: RNA transcript, 2074 nt
Organism: Strongylocentrotus purpuratus (purple sea urchin)
Lineage: Eukaryota; Metazoa; Echinodermata; Echinoidea; Camarodonta; Strongylocentrotidae
Gene name: DNA-directed primase/polymerase protein-like
Exons: 3
Source: RefSeq, a predicted model, not a curated record
UACUUUUUUUCUGCCUUUUCUGUCAGGUGUAGUUUGAUGAAGUGUGGCUGACUGUAUUGUCAGUCAACCAAUAUGACAUUUUGCGUAUCUGAUAAAACGGGACUCGUAGCUGAAGAAAAUCAGAUAAAAAUAUUGUACUUUCAAUAAAAACUUCUUUAAUCAACAUGUGAUGCGACAGUCUAGAGCCGCAUAAUCCAUGUUUGAGCGGCGCGGUGCUCAAUGUGCCGCCGUGUACGUAGGGGCGAAAUUGGCUUGUGCACCGUUUGGCCUCCACUGCAUCAAUAACAUGCGUGUAGUCCCACGCACAACUUUUAGUCGUCCGUACAGAGCGUGCCGAGACAACAGAGGGGUACCAAUCAUCCCCCUUCCCGGAGAUCGACUCCUACAUCAGGGUGUACUGCAUCUCAAAAGGGGGUGUGGCAGGGGAGAUCAGGAGAUGGACUUAUUUCUCGGAGGCUCAGCUCCUGGUGUAUGACGUCGUCAAGAACAGGUGGUGUGAGAAUAUUGGCAGACAGCACAUGAGCAACAACAUCAUGAUCUUGGUGGACUUGAGGAGAGGGGUCUACUACCAGAAGUGCCACGACCCCGCAAGGCUACAAAUCCGACGAUCACCCCGUUCCUCCGGAGCACCUCCCUUCCUUCACCGACUGGGACGAGGAUGAACUGAUCAACGUUUCUCUACGAGUGGAAGAAGAUGCAAGGUCCAACGAGAUGAAUCAGAACAGCUUUUGCUCUGACUUUGACAGUUUCCAUGACGACGAUGCUGAUGAGGAGCUGAUAAAGCUGGGUGAGAGAUACGAUGCACCGGAAACGGGCAAUGACGGCAAGACUGUACACCGGACAGUGAAUCUUGUCCAGCUGAUACCAAGUCCAACCUUCAAGUCCAGCAUUUCACCAUCUGGAAUCCGAAUGGAUGUGCCAGUCAUUAGUGAGUCCAGAUCUGAUGCUAGUUUCCGGAACUUUACCUCAUGGGUUAGUUGGGCCGAUGUUGCUCCUCCACUCGUUAAGUCACGAGCCUGCAGCAACGUCUCUGAGCGAUGUCUUAAUGUUGAUGGAGCACAUUCAUCUGAAGAAACUUGGGCUUUGUGCAUAAGCACUGUUACUAGUGGCUUGUUAAAAAAAGACAGAUCAGAUAUGCCAUUAGUUUAUUUUGGCUGAAAAAGGGGGAUGUUGAAUACUUGUCCGUCAAAUUAUAUCAUAUUUUAGUAACAGUGUGGCCAAAUUAGGCGUGGGGGGGGGGGGUGGUGGUUGCUACAGAAUAUUUUAAAUACAUUCCUGCAUAUAAGGAAAGAACACCCACUGCUAUAUAUUUCUUAUUUUUCUUUUUCUGGGCUGCCAAAGGAGGGGGGGGGGGGAGAGGGCAUAUGCAUAACAAAAGGGAGGCUUGAUUUUUAAUCUAUUUAUUACUUGAUUGAGAUAUUUUGGAUGUGUGUUGCAACUUAAUAAAUUUUAACAUACACAUAUUGUAUUGUACACAUUUUUAAAAGUACAGUCCACUUUAAUUAUUAGGAGGAUUUCAGGACCAAGCCAAUUUAUAAACAAAAUUUUGUUUUUUCUGAACACAUAGACACAUGUGCGCAGGUUUGAAUUCGGAAUUGGGAAAACUGCCUCGUUUUAAUGAGAUCUUGUUGUAUCAGCGCUCGUUAUAAUUGAAGUAGACUGUAUAUACUUCUCUUGAGAACCUAUCAUGAUCGUAUGAAUAAAAUAUAAAGUGAAAAUCCAUUUUAAGUUAGUUAUGAAACACAUUUUAUUAUAAAAAAUAUAAUUGCUCAGAAAAAUUUUAUCCUCGAACAUGUAAUGUAGAUAAUUAUAUAUAAAGAGAUCUGAUGUAAGGAAUACCUGAUAUAAAAGCUAAUUUCUCUGGUCAAAAUGAAAUCAAUUUGCUUUGUUUUGUAUUGACUACUGAUAUAACAAGAUACCUGGUACAUGUAAAACAAGCAAACUUUGUCCAGUUCCAAGGACCUCAUUUUGGGAUUUUCCACUGAAGGCUUAUAUUAAUUUAGUGAAUACGCAGAUCUUGUAUGAAUCAUGCAUUAUAAUAAAAUUAGAAUCAUAUUAAUUUUAUGAAUACAUA